UUUCUUAGUGGCAGACUAAGUGCAAUGAACUUAAGAUUCAUACAUGAUAUUUAUCCUAAGAUAUC
This 65-nucleotide transfer RNA is filed under the name Linognathus vituli. Its description in RNAcentral is "tRNA-Leu". Lineage: Eukaryota; Metazoa; Arthropoda; Insecta; Psocodea; Linognathidae. The record is from RNAcentral.